UGGGGAAUAUUGCACAAUGGGGGAAACCCUGAUGCAGCGACGCCGCGUGAGUGAAGAAGUAUUUCGGUAUGUAAAGCUCUAUCAGCAGGGAAGAAAAUGACGGUACCUGACUAAGAAGCCCCGGCUAACUACGUGCCAGCAGCCGCGGUAAUACGUAGGGGGCAAGCGUUAUCCGGAUUUACUGGGUGUAAAGGGAGCGUAGGUGGCAUGGCAAGUCAGAUGUGAAAGCUCGGGGCUCAACCCCGGAACUGCAUUUGAAACUGUCAAGCUAGAGUGCAGGAGAGGUAAGUGGAAUUCCUAGUGUAGCGGUGAAAU
This 315-nucleotide ribosomal RNA is filed under the name uncultured Clostridium sp. RNAcentral describes it as "bacterial SSU rRNA". It matches the Rfam family "Bacterial small subunit ribosomal RNA", at positions 355 to 687 of the family's 1533-position model. Lineage: Bacteria; Bacillati; Bacillota; Clostridia; Eubacteriales; Clostridiaceae. The record is from RNAcentral.